Molecule: ribosomal RNA, 443 nt
Filed under: uncultured bacterium
Lineage: Bacteria
Description: partial 16S ribosomal RNA
Rfam family: Bacterial small subunit ribosomal RNA
Source: RNAcentral
CCUACGGGUGGCAGCAGUGGGGAAUCUUGCACAAUGGGCGAAAGCCUGAUGCAGCAACGCCGCGUGAAGGAAGAAGGGUUUCGGCUCGUAAACUUCUAUCAUCAGGGACGAAAGAAAUGACGGUACCUGGAUAAGAAGCCCCGGCUAACUCAGUGCCAGCAGCCGCGGUACUACGUAGGGGGCACGCGUUCUCCGGAAUUACUGGGUGUAAAGGGUGAGUAGGCGGCAUGGUAAGCCAGAUGUGAAAGCCUUGGGAUUAACCCGAGGAUUGCAUUUGGGACGAGCCAGCUAGAGGACAGGAGAGGAAAGCGGAAUGCCUAGUGUAGCGGUGAAAUGCGUAGAUAUUAGGAAGAACACCAGUGGCGAAGGCGGCUUUCUGGACUGAAACUGACGCUGAGGCACGAAAGCGUGGGGAGUGAACAGGAUUAGAUACCCUUGUAGUC